CAGGACGAACGCUGGCGGCGUGCUUAACACAUGCAAGUCGAACGGUAAGGCCCUUCGGGGUACACGAGUGGCGAACGGGUGAGUAACACGUGGGUGAUCUGCCCUGCACUUCGGGAUAAGCCUGGGAAACUGGGUCUAAUACCGGAUAGGACCAUGGACUUCACGGUUUGUGGUGGAAAGCUUUUGCGGUGUGGGAUGGGCCCGCGGCCUAUCAGCUUGUUGGUGGGGUAAUGGCCUACCAAGGCGACGACGGGUAGCCGGCCUGAGAGGGUGUCCGGCCACACUGGGACUGAGAUACGGCCCAGACUCCUACGGGAGGCAGCAGUGGGGAAUAUUGCACAAUGGGCGCAAGCCUGAUGCAGCGACGCCGCGUGAGGGAUGACGGCCUUCGGGUUGUAAACCUCUUUCAAUAGGGACGAAGCGCAAGUGACGGUACCUAUAGAAGAAGCACCGGCCAACUACGUG
This 465-nucleotide ribosomal RNA is filed under the name uncultured bacterium. RNAcentral describes it as "bacterial SSU rRNA". It matches the Rfam family "Bacterial small subunit ribosomal RNA", at positions 25 to 507 of the family's 1533-position model. The record is from RNAcentral.